RNAcentral lists this ribosomal RNA (215 nucleotides) under uncultured bacterium. RNAcentral describes it as "partial 16S ribosomal RNA". It matches the Rfam family "Bacterial small subunit ribosomal RNA", at positions 118 to 335 of the family's 1533-position model. The record is from RNAcentral.
UGAGCAAUCUGCCCUUCUCAUCGGAAUAAGCGUUGGAAACGAUGGCUAAUACCGAAUAUGACUUCGGAUCGCAUGAUCUGAAGUGGAAAGCUCCGGCGGUGAAGGAUGAGCUCGCGGCCUAUCAGCUUGUUGGUGAGGUAAUAGCUCACCAAGGCGAUGACGGGUAGCCGGCCUGAGAGGGUGACCGGCCACACUGGGACUGAGACACCGGCAGA